GCGCACCAGGCGAGAAUCCUCCGCAAUGCGGGAAACCGCGACGGGGGGACCCCGAGUGCCGUGGCGACGCCACGGCUUUUCCGGAGUGUAAAAAGCUCCGGGAAUAAGGGCUGGGCAAGGCCGGUGGCAGCCGCCGCGGUAAUACCGGCGGCCCGAGUGGUGGCCGCUAUUAUUGGGCCUAAAAGCGUCCGUAGCCGGGCCCGUAAAGUCCCUGGCGAAAAUCCCCACGGCUCAACCGUGGGGCUUGCUGGGGAUACUGCGGGUCUUGGGACCGGGAGAGGCGGGGGGUACCCCUGGGGUAGGGGUGAAAUCCUAUAAUCCCAGGGGGACCGCCAGUGGCGAAGGCGCCCCGCUGGAACGGGUCCGACGGUGAGGGACGAAGGCCAGGGGAGCAAAACCGGAUUAGAUA
RNAcentral lists this ribosomal RNA (409 nucleotides) under uncultured microorganism. RNAcentral describes it as "bacterial SSU rRNA". It matches the Rfam family "Archaeal small subunit ribosomal RNA", at positions 330 to 735 of the family's 1478-position model. The record is from RNAcentral.